RNAcentral lists this ribosomal RNA (465 nucleotides) under uncultured bacterium. RNAcentral describes it as "partial 16S ribosomal RNA". It matches the Rfam family "Bacterial small subunit ribosomal RNA", at positions 28 to 507 of the family's 1533-position model. The record is from RNAcentral.
GACGAACGCUGGCGGCGUGCUUAACACAUGCAAGUCGUACGGUAAGGCCCUUUCGGGGGUGCACGAGUGGCGAACGGGUGAGUAACACGUGAGUAACCUGCCUACAACUUUGGGAUAACGCUAGGAAACUGGUGCUAAUACUGGAUAUGUGCCCCUGCCGCAUGGUGGGGGUUGGAAAGCUCGGGCGGUUGUGGAUGGACUCGCGGCCUAUCAGCUUGUUGGUGGGGGAGUGGCCUACCAAGGCGGCGUCGGGUAGCCGGCCUGAGAGGGUGACCGGCCACAUUGGGACUGAGAUACGGCCCAGGCGCCGACGGGAGGCAGCAGGGGGGAAUAUUGCACAAGGGGCGCAAGCCUGAUGCAGCAACGCCGCGGGCGGGAGGACGGCCUUUGGGUUGGAAACCGAUUUCAGCAGGGACGAAGCUUUUUGUGACGGUACCUGCAGAAGAAGCACCGGCUAACUACGUG